CCUACGGGAGGCAGCAGUAGGGAAUAUUGCACAAUGGGGGAAACCCUGAAGCAGCAACGCCGCGUGGGGGAUGAAGGUUUUCGGAUUGUAAACUCCUUUUGUUAGAGAAGAUAAUGACGGUAUCUAACGAAUAAGCACCGGCUAACUACGUGCCAGCAGCCGCGGUAAUACGGAGGGUGCAAGCGUUACUCGGAUUUACUGGGCGUAAAGGGCGCGUAGGCGGGAUAGCAAGUCUGAUGUGAAAUCCUAUGGCUUAACCAUAGAACUGCAUUUGAAACUGUGAGUCUGGAGUAUGGGAGGGGUAGGUGGAAUUCGUGGUGUAGGGGUGAAAUGCGUAGAGAUCAAGAGGAAUACUCAUGGCGAAGGUGACUUGCUAGAACGUAACUGACGUUGAUGCGCGAAAGCGUGGGGAGCAAACAGGAUUAGAUACCCCUGUAGUC
Molecule: ribosomal RNA, 440 nt
Filed under: uncultured bacterium
Lineage: Bacteria
Description: partial 16S ribosomal RNA
Rfam family: Bacterial small subunit ribosomal RNA
Source: RNAcentral